Non-coding RNA from Lasiosphaeria miniovina, 92 nucleotides. Lineage: Eukaryota; Fungi; Ascomycota; Sordariomycetes; Sordariales; Lasiosphaeriaceae. The record is from the annotation of a RefSeq genome assembly.
GUCCGUAUGGUCUAGCGGUAUGACGUUCGCCUCACACAUCCACAACGUGGUCGCGACAGGUCCCAGGUUCGAUCUUGUUCCUGGCGUGGACA